GUGGGGAAUAUUGGACAAUGGGGGGAACCCUGAUCCAGCCAUGCCGCGUGUGUGAAGAAGGCCUUUUGGUUGUAAAGCACUUUAAGUGGGGAGGAGGCUUACCUGGUUAAUACCUGGGCUAAGUGGACGUUACCCACAGAAUAAGCACCGGCUAACUCUGUGCCAGCAGCCGCGGUAAUACAGAGGGUGCGAGCGUUAAUCGGAUUUACUGGGCGUAAAGCGCGCGUAGGUGGUUAAUUAAGUCAAAUGUGAAAUCCCCGAGCUUAACUUGGGAAUUGCAUUCGAUACUGGUUAGCUAGAGUAUGGGAGAGGAUGGUAGAAUUCCAGGUGUAGCGGUGAAAUGCGUAGAGAUCUGGAGGAAUACCGAUGGCGAAGGCAGCCAUCUGGCCUAAUACUGACACUGAGGUGCGAAAGCAUGGGGAGCAAACAGGAUUAGAAACCCUGGUAGUCC
Molecule: ribosomal RNA, 451 nt
Filed under: uncultured bacterium
Lineage: Bacteria
Description: partial 16S ribosomal RNA
Rfam family: Bacterial small subunit ribosomal RNA
Source: RNAcentral